CGUUAGCGGCGGACGGGUGAGUAACACGUGGGCAACCUGCCUGUAAGACUGGGAUAACUUCGGGAAACCGAAGCUAAUACCGGAUAGGAUCUUCUCCUUCAUGGGAGAUGAUUGAAAGAUGGUUUCGGCUAUCACUUACAGAUGGGCCCGCGGUGCAUUAGCUAGUUGGUGAGGUAACGGCUCACCAAGGCAACGAUGCAUAGCCGACCUGAGAGGGUGAUCGGCCACACUGGGACUGAGACACGGCCCAGACUCCUACGGGAGGCAGCAGUAGGGAAUCUUCCGCAAUGGACGAAAGUCUGACGGAGCAACGCCGCGUGAGUGAUGAAGGCUUUCGGGUCGUAAAACUCUGUUGUUAGGGAAGAACAAGUACAAGAGUAACUGCUUGUACCUUGACGGUACCUAACCAGAAAGCCACGGCUAACUACGUGCCAGCAGCCGCGGUAAUACGUAGGUGGCAAGCGUUAUCCGGAAUUAUUGGGCGUAAAGCGCGCGCAGGCGGUUUCUUAAGUCUGAUGUGAAAGCCCACGGCUCAACCGUGGAGGGUCAU
Molecule: ribosomal RNA, 550 nt
Filed under: bacterium BaA1-48
Lineage: Bacteria
Description: bacterial SSU rRNA
Rfam family: Bacterial small subunit ribosomal RNA
Source: RNAcentral